UAAAAGGAGAUGGCCGUGGGGCAGGGAGGGGAUGACCAGACUUCAGCAACUCUUCCUCCUGGUUCUCUCCUUUCAAGUCCUCCUCCCCUCAAGCCCACUGAACAUGGCCUUGGAACUCACGUAGCAUUCUAGUCCCAGGCCCAAAGUCUUCUCAUUGCCCCUCAAUUGGACCCACCUUUUCCACCCAGCGUCUAACAGCUGAAUAGCUGCUCAGAUCUUGAAACCUACUCCAACCUAGAAGAUGUCUAGAAGUCAUGUGGGGUCAAAGAACAGGCCUCUACCCACAUUUAUGUGGGUAAAUGAAGUCACAGCACAAGUCACCUACCCCACGUGGAAGACAGACCCUCCGGCACUGUCUCCUGCUUGUCUGCUGAACCUGACAUGUGAACCCCCAUCCGCAUGUGGGGCUGGGGAUGUGGUUGCCCCCUGUCCCAGAGGCCCACCUAUUGUCCCUACACAGACAUGGGGUCCAGCGUCAGCCCCUGCUGCUGCCUCCCCAAGAAAAAGUGGCCCAAAGAGCCCUGGCUACUCUCCAGGUGCUGACCAGGGGCCUGUUACUCUCAACAGACCUCCAUCGCUGCCAGAUACAGGGCCUCCUCCGCUCUGCAAGCCAUCCACACCACCUCCUCAGCCACUGCCCGCUACGUUCCCCUCCCCACAAGGCACUCUCCCAGAGCAGGGGCUUUCCUACCUCCAUGAUUUGUCCCUGAAGCUGACAUCCUUCAGCCCCGAGAAAGUCAUCUUCCAGGUUGUUAGCCUUACUCACAGGAUGCUACACAGGAUCCUCAGAGGCCUCCAGCCUGACACAAAUCAUGACCUGGUUUGAUCUUUAAAAUUUUCUCAAAAUCUAA
Odocoileus virginianus texanus is the source of this 851-nucleotide long non-coding RNA. RefSeq lists it as uncharacterized. Lineage: Eukaryota; Metazoa; Chordata; Mammalia; Artiodactyla; Cervidae. The record is from RefSeq and is a predicted model, not a curated record.